This 253-nucleotide ribosomal RNA is filed under the name uncultured bacterium. RNAcentral's name for it is "partial 16S ribosomal RNA". It matches the Rfam family "Bacterial small subunit ribosomal RNA", at positions 524 to 776 of the family's 1533-position model. The record is from RNAcentral.
AACGUAGGAGACAAACGUUAUCCGGAGUUACUGGGCGUAAAGGGCGUGUAGGUGGUUUCGUAAGUCUGGCGUGAAAUUUUUCGGCUUAACCGGGAAAGGUCGUCGGAUACUGCGGGACUGGAGGACGGUAGAGGCGUGUGGAAUUCCGGGUGUAGUGGUGAAAUGCGUAGAGAUCCGGAGGAACACCAGUGGCGAAGGCGACACGCUGGGCCUUACCUGACGCUGAGGAGCGAAAGCGUGGGGAGCAAACAGG